UACGGAGGGUGCAAGCGUUGUUCGAAAUUAUUGGGCGUAAAGCGCGCGUAGGUGGUUUAGUUAGUCCUGUGUGAAAGACUCGGGCUCAACCCGGGAGGGUCAUGGGAUACUGCUAAACUAGAGUACGAGAGGGGAGAGUGGAAUUCCUAGUGUAGAGGUGGAAUUCGUAGAUAUUAGGAGGAACACCAGUGGCGAAAGCGACUCUCUGGCUCGAUACUGACACUAAGGCGCGAAGGCGUGGGGAGCAAACAGG
This 253-nucleotide unclassified non-coding RNA is filed under the name uncultured delta proteobacterium. RNAcentral describes it as "contains 16S-23S intergenic spacer region". It matches the Rfam family "Bacterial small subunit ribosomal RNA", at positions 524 to 776 of the family's 1533-position model. The record is from RNAcentral. Lineage: Bacteria; Deltaproteobacteria.